This 253-nucleotide ribosomal RNA is filed under the name uncultured bacterium. RNAcentral's name for it is "partial 16S ribosomal RNA". It matches the Rfam family "Bacterial small subunit ribosomal RNA", at positions 524 to 776 of the family's 1533-position model. The record is from RNAcentral.
UACGGAGGGGGCAAGCGUUAUUCGGAAUUAUUGGGCGUAAAGGGCGCGUAGGCGGCUAGAUGUGUCAAAGGUGAAAUCCCUCGGCUCAACUGAGGAACUGCCUUUGAAACUGUCUGGCUUGAGGCCGGGAGAGGGUAGCGGAAUUCCCAGUGCAGCGGUGAAAUGCGUAGAUAUUGGGAGGAACACCAGUGGCGAAGGCGGCUACCUGGACCGGUUCUGACGCUGAGGCGCGAAGGCCAGGGGAGCAAACGGG